AAGUCGUAACAAGGUUUCCGUAGGUGAACCUGCGGAAGGAUCAUUACAGAAUAAACUUGAUAAACUGUUGCUGGCUCUCUUUGGAGUAAUGUGCACGUUUAUCAUUUUUAUAUUUCCACCUGUGCACCCAUUUGUAGUUCUGGGAAAUUCUUUAAGCAACUGAAGUCCUUUAACGGUCUUAGUUGUAUUUGAAGGACUGCUGUGCUUUGGUUGUCUAGAAGCCAGCUUUCCUUUAUAAUUUCCAGACCUAUGUAUUUUACAUAUACUCCAGUAUGUUAAAGAAUGCAAUAUCAAGGCCUAUCAUAGCCUAUAUAAACAAUAUACAACUUUCAGCAACGGAUCUCUUGGCUCUCA
This 354-nucleotide unclassified non-coding RNA is filed under the name fungal sp. Its description in RNAcentral is "partial internal transcribed spacer region". The stretch from base 1 to 46 matches the Rfam family "Eukaryotic small subunit ribosomal RNA", at positions 1786 to 1831 of the family's 1831-position model. Lineage: Eukaryota; Fungi. The record is from RNAcentral.